AACGAACGCUGGCGGCAUGCCUAACACAUGCAAGUCGAACGAGAUCUUCGGGUCUAGUGGCGCACGGGUGCGUAACGCGUGGGAAUCUGCCCUUUGGUUCGGAAUAACAGUUGGAAACGACUGCUAAUACCGGAUGAUGACGAAAGUCCAAAGAUUUAUCGCCAGAGGAUGAGCCCGCGUAGGAUUAGCUAGUUGGUGUGGUAAAGGCGCCCAUAGGCGACGAUCCUUAGCUGGUCUGAGAGGAUGAUCAGCCACACUGGGACUGAGACACGGCCCAGACUCCUACGGGAGGCAGCAGUGGGGAAUAUUGGACAAUGGGCGAAAGCCUGAUCCAGCAAUGCCGCGUGAGUGAUGAAGGCCUUAGGGUUGUAAAGCUCUUUUACCCGGGAUGAUAAUGACAGUACCGGGAGAAUAAGCUCCGGCUAACUCCGUGCCAGCAGCCGCCGUAA
This 449-nucleotide ribosomal RNA is filed under the name uncultured bacterium. Its description in RNAcentral is "partial 16S ribosomal RNA". It matches the Rfam family "Bacterial small subunit ribosomal RNA", at positions 29 to 523 of the family's 1533-position model. The record is from RNAcentral.